This is a long non-coding RNA of Mauremys reevesii (Reeves's turtle), 542 nucleotides long. RefSeq lists it as uncharacterized. The record is from RefSeq and is a predicted model, not a curated record. The transcript has 3 exons. Lineage: Eukaryota; Metazoa; Chordata; Testudines; Geoemydidae.
AAAGGAAGAUAUAAAAGUAAGGUUGAUAAUGUCCCCUGUCAUGAGAGGUAUUGCAUCCGGAUCUCUGACCCGGCUUAUGUGUUGAGAAUGGAAAGUGAAGUUUCAGUUGCUUGCCAGUGUUUCUGCAUGUCACACUAUUAUUGUACCCUUGAACGCACACACAGAAUUAUGGUGAUGUUUUGGUUGCAUAAACUUCUGAGCUGGGUGAUGCUCUGGUUCCUCCUGGUAUGGCCUGCUGCCACCCUGGGACCAGGCAGUGGAGUGGAGCAAGCACAGCAGUGGACAGAAUUCCAGCCAUGGAGCCCAGCACAAGAAUCUGCAGCCCCAUCUCUGCAGAAUAAGGUUUGCACAACAUGUCCAUCAUGGUGAUAUCUGAGCACCUUUCAGAGCUGCAUAAAGUGAUGUGACUGGCUUCUGUCAUGUACGUUGCCGUCUGUACUUCUGUCUUCUCUCAAGUUCACCCUGAUCUUUCCUGAAAUAUGUAUGAAGCACAGGGAGCUCUGGUUACUCUCUUCCUCCUCCUUUUCAAACUCUUUCAAGUG